RNAcentral lists this ribosomal RNA (252 nucleotides) under uncultured bacterium. RNAcentral's name for it is "partial 16S ribosomal RNA". It matches the Rfam family "Bacterial small subunit ribosomal RNA", at positions 524 to 776 of the family's 1533-position model. The record is from RNAcentral.
UACGGAGGGGGCUAGCGUUGUUCGGAAUUACUGGGCGUAAAGCGCACGUAGGCGGAUUGUUAAGUCAGAGGUGAAAUCCCGGAGCUCAACUUCGGAACUGCCUUUGAUACUGGCAAUCUAGAGUCCGGAAGAGGUUAGUGGAAUUCCCAGUGUAGAGGUGAAAUUCGUAGAUAUUGGGAAGAACACCAGUGGCGAGGCGGCUAACUGGUCCGGUACUGACGCUGAGGUGCGAAAGCGUGGGGAGCAAACAGG